AUUGAACGCUGGCGGCAGGCCUAACACAUGCAAGUCGAACGGUAACACGGUACGGCUUGCCGCUUAGCGGUCGCGAGGCGCGGGGGUGUGACAUGUCUGUGAAACUGCCUGAUGGCGGGGGAUAAAUCGUGGAAACGGUAGCUAUUACCGCAUAACGUAGCAACCGCAAAGAGCAGGAGCUUCGCGCCUCUUGCCAUCGGCUGUGCCCAGAUGGGAUUAGCUAGUAGGUGGGGUAACGGCUCACCUAGGCGACGAUCCGUAGCUGGUCUGAGAGGAUGAUCAGCCACACUGGAACUGAGACACGGUCCAGACUCCUACGGGAGGCAGCAGUGGGGAAUAUUGCACAAUGGGCGCAAGCCUGAUGCAGCCAUGCCGCGUGGGUGAAGAAGGCCUUCGGGUUGUAAAGCCCUUUUAUCGGGGAAGAAGAGAGGAAAGUUAAUACCUCGGCGCAUUGACGGUACCCAAAGAAGAAGCACCGGCUAACUCCGUG
RNAcentral lists this ribosomal RNA (490 nucleotides) under uncultured bacterium. Its description in RNAcentral is "partial 16S ribosomal RNA". It matches the Rfam family "Bacterial small subunit ribosomal RNA", at positions 30 to 507 of the family's 1533-position model. The record is from RNAcentral.